Molecule: non-coding RNA, 28 nt
Filed under: Homo sapiens (human)
Lineage: Eukaryota; Metazoa; Chordata; Mammalia; Primates; Hominidae
Source: RNAcentral
UNCAAUAGAUGUUGAGGCUGUGAGUAGG